CGAUACCGGGUUGUGAUUGUAUCAACCAAAAAGUAUUUAAGUGAUCGAAAGAUGACUUGGAAUACGGCACAAACGCGAGAACUCAGACCUAUAAGGUGGGUGUCGACGAGACACACUCGUUAUAGGGUCAAGCGAACAAGUGCAUGUGGUGGAUGCCUUGGCGAUUACAGGCGAUGAAGGACGCGGUAGCCUGCGAAAAGCUUCGGGGAGCUGGCAAACGAGCUUUGAUCCGGAGAUGUCCGAAUGGGGAAACCCGGCCCGAAUGGGUCAUCCGUGACUGAAUACAUAGGUCACGGAAGCG
Molecule: unclassified non-coding RNA, 301 nt
Filed under: uncultured Pseudomonadota bacterium
Lineage: Bacteria; Pseudomonadati; Pseudomonadota
Description: uncultured proteobacterium partial 16S-23S ribosomal RNA intergenic spacer
Rfam family: Bacterial large subunit ribosomal RNA (bases 126-301)
Source: RNAcentral